RNAcentral lists this long non-coding RNA (1170 nucleotides) under Helianthus annuus (common sunflower). RNAcentral describes it as "hypothetical non coding rna". Lineage: Eukaryota; Viridiplantae; Streptophyta; Magnoliopsida; Asterales; Asteraceae. The record is from RNAcentral.
AUGAUCACUAAUUCAAACCACAGGGACGAAAACAGUAAUUAACUCUUAAAAUUUAGAACUCCACAGUUUAUACUUGACAAUUAAGAAUAUGUCACUCGGUCCCUUACCUGCAUACGGGUCACAACUACCCAUAUAGGAUUUGUCAGCAGCACAUUGACACACCUAAAAAAACAAGUCAAGACAACUGCUUAACAUCACAUACAACUAUACAGAUCAAUAUCUCACCAGUUGUAUAGAUUAAUCAUCCAAGAAAAUUUGGAUGGAAAAAAAUAACAGAAUACAUGAGGAAUUUUUGUUCAAGUUAACUCUUAUCUUUAUUAGCGGGCAAGAAUAGAAUGGAAGGAAAGUGGGAAACUGGUGUUAACUUGGUUCAUAGAUGGAAAGCAUUUUAAAAUACAAGUUCGUCAUAGGUUUCUUACACUCCAAGCAACACAAAUUACAAACUCGAUAAUAGUACGAAGAAAGUACCCAGACAUAGCAGCCACCAUGAGUGAUGAAAGCAUACCGACUGAUCCAUCUCCAGAUCCUUCCUUCUUAAGUUUAAGUGCAGCUGCUUCAGCCUUGCUCCUGAAUAUUUGAUAGAAAUAAUAGUAAACACCCUGUAGCAUACAAAUAGGAUGAUAAGAAUCAGGCAUUUAGGGACUAAAUGUGUCUUCAAUCUUUAUACUUAUAACAAGAUUUUAACGAGUUAUUUACUCACUUAGUUUACCUACAAGGCUACAAAUUUAGUAACUUCAACGAGAUGCAUGUGACAGCAAAAUCAAGCAGUCACAUAGGCGAACAGUGAUCAUAUGGUAUACUGUAUACAUUGCCUAACGUAUUUGGUUAAUGUUCUUAAUCAUGUUUAAAUUUGAAACAAGUUAUCACAUACCCAUGUGGGAAGAGCUUAUUAGAACUAUAAAAGGCUGCACGAUGUUUGCUUCUUAUGGAGGGAGCGGCCGACCCCCCGAACUUUUUGCUCAGUAGUGGAGAGUAUGUAGUUUUCGUAUAGAAAUUUUUGGGUAUAUACGUUUUCGACCCCCCGGUCCCCCCGGUUUUAUAGACAUUUUUAGGUCCAGUGACUUCCGUCUCCCCGGUCGGAAAUCUCAAGCUUCGCCACUGCUAAUGUAUUGUCUUAUAAAUGUCACAUUGGCUAUACUACCAAGUGUUUCUUGGAAUUUAAAUUGUAGU